GUCGGCGGUGAUAGCACGUUGAUUAUACUAGUUCCUAAUGGUUCACUAAAGUUAAGCAACGUUGCGCGUGGUUGGUGGGUAGAUUCCCGCCCGAUGUCUAAGAACGGCUGGCU
RNAcentral lists this ribosomal RNA (113 nucleotides) under Diaphorina citri (Asian citrus psyllid). The record is from RNAcentral. Lineage: Eukaryota; Metazoa; Arthropoda; Insecta; Hemiptera; Psyllidae.